AUACGGGGGAUGCGAGCGUUAUCCGGAUUUAUUGGGUUUAAAGGGCGCGUAGGCGGGACGUCAAGUCAGCGGUAAAAGACUGCAGCUAAACUGUAGCACGCCGUUGAAACUGGCGCCCUGGAGACGAGACGAGGGAGGCGGAACAAGUGAAGUAGCGGUGAAAUGCAUAGAUAUCACUUCGGAACCCCGAUAGCGAAGGCAGCUUCCCAGGCUCGUUCUGACGCUGAUGCGCGAGAGCGUGGGUAGC
This 247-nucleotide ribosomal RNA is filed under the name uncultured bacterium. RNAcentral describes it as "partial 16S ribosomal RNA". It matches the Rfam family "Bacterial small subunit ribosomal RNA", at positions 523 to 769 of the family's 1533-position model. The record is from RNAcentral.